RNAcentral lists this ribosomal RNA (488 nucleotides) under uncultured bacterium. Its description in RNAcentral is "bacterial SSU rRNA". It matches the Rfam family "Bacterial small subunit ribosomal RNA", at positions 1046 to 1532 of the family's 1533-position model. The record is from RNAcentral.
UGGUUGUCGUCAGCUUGUGUCGUGAGAUGUUGGGUCAAGUCCCGCAACGAGCGCAACCCUUGUUCUUAGUAGCCAGCACGAAAGGUGGGCACUCUAAGAAGACCGCCGGGGAUAACCCGGAGGAAGAUGGGGAUGACGUCAAAUCAUCAUGCCCCUUAUGGCCUGGGCUACACACGUGCUACAAUGGUCUGUACAGAGGGAAGCGAAGCAGCGAUGUGGAGCGAAUCCCAGAAAACAGAUCUCAGUUCGGAUUGUAGGCUGCAACUCGCCUACAUGAAGCUGGAAUCGCUAGUAAUCGCAGGUCAGCAUACUGCGGUGAAUACGUUCCCGGGCCUUGUACACACCGCCCGUCACACCACGAAAGUUUGCAACACCCGAAGCCGGUGGCCUAACCCGCAAGGGAGGGAGCCGUCGAAGGUGGGGCAGAUGAUUGGGGUGAAGUCGUAACAAGGUAGCCGUAUCGGAAGGUGCGGCUGGAUCACCUCCUU